GAUGAACGCUGGCGGCGUGCCUAAUACAUGCAAGUCGAGCGAACGGACGAGAAGCUUGCUUCUCUGAUGUUAGCGGCGGACGGGUGAGUAACACGUGGAUAACCUACCUAUAAGACUGGGAUAACUUCGGGAAACCGGGGCUAAUACCGGAUAAUAUUUUGAACCGCAUGGUUCAAAAGUGAAGGACGGUCUUGCUGUCACUUAUAGAUGGAUCCGCGCUGCAUUAGCUAGUUGGUAAGGUAACGGCUUACCAAGGCAACGAUGCAUAGCCGACCUGAGAGGGUGAUCGGCCACACUGGAACUGAGACACGGUCCAGACUCCUACGGGAGGCAGCAGUAGGGAAUCUUCCGCAAUGGGCGAAAGCCUGACGGAGCAACGCCGCGUGAGUGAUGAAGGUCUUCGGAUCGUAAAACUCUGUUAUUAGGGAAGAACAUAUGUGUAAGUAACUGUGCACAUCUUGACGGUACCUAAUCAGAAAGCCACGGCUAACUACGUG
Molecule: ribosomal RNA, 497 nt
Filed under: uncultured bacterium
Lineage: Bacteria
Description: partial 16S ribosomal RNA
Rfam family: Bacterial small subunit ribosomal RNA
Source: RNAcentral